UAGGGAAUCUUCCACAAUGGGCGCAAGCCUGAUGGAGCAACACCGCGUGAGUGAAGAAGGGUUUCGGCUCGUAAAGCUCUGUUGUUAAAGAAGAACACGUAUGAGAUUAACUGUUCAUACGUUGACGGUAUUUAACCAGAAAGUCACGGCUAACUACGUGCCAGCAGCCGCGGUAAUACGUAGGUGGCAAGCGUUAUCCGGAUUUAUUGGGCGUAAAGAGAGUGCAGGCGGUUUUCUAAGUCUGAUGUGAAAGCCUUCGGCUUAACCGGAGAAGUGCAUCGGAAACUGGAUAACUUGAGUGCAGAAGAGGGUAGUGGAACUCCAUGUGUAGCGGUGGAAUGCGUAGAUAUAUGGAAGAACACCAGUGGCGAAGGCGGCUACCUGGUCUGCAACUGACGCUGAGACUCGAAAGCAUGGGUAGCGAACAGGAUUAGAUACCCUGGUAGUCCAUGCCGUAAACGAUGAGUGCUAGGUGUUGGAGGGUUUCCGCCCUCAGUGCCGGAGCUAACGCAUUAAGCACUCCGCCUGGGGAGUACGACCGCAAGGUUG
Molecule: ribosomal RNA, 549 nt
Filed under: uncultured bacterium
Lineage: Bacteria
Description: bacterial SSU rRNA
Rfam family: Bacterial small subunit ribosomal RNA
Source: RNAcentral